RNAcentral lists this small RNA (345 nucleotides) under Arabidopsis thaliana (thale cress). RNAcentral's name for it is "ATSL257680". The record is from RNAcentral. Lineage: Eukaryota; Viridiplantae; Streptophyta; Magnoliopsida; Brassicales; Brassicaceae.
AUUACGGUUUAAUCACAUUUUGAAUGUGGAAUUUUCAUUCUACUCACUUGCAAUAUAUCCUACUUGAGUCAUUUUACAUGGGUCAACAAUCUUAACGUUAAUAUCAUGAGGUUCUAAAUUAAAACCAGUUGACAAUAAGUAAAAGCGCUUAUGUAUCUUAUACAUUACUCUAGAAGCCUAUCAACUUCUGAUAUGGCGAAUAGAAACAUUCUAAUACCCCUUUUCCGCUUAGAAUGGACAUCUAAACAUGAAGUUUGAGGAAAUGAACAUACAAAGGUAUUUUAGGAAUUAUCGGCCUACAAUUCAAAACUAAUUGGUGGUACUGAGUGAAUUAUUAUAUGGUAC